AGAAAACUCGGAGGAAGAAAAAUGUUGGUCGUGCUAUACUACUAUGAAGACAGAUCAAUCAGCUGGGCCAUACCGCAGAUUAAGGUUUUUCGGCAAUCGUCAGCAAUAUCAAAAGCCUCUACCUACUUCGUUUUUGCAUUUUUGCCUUGCUCCCUGCUGGCAGUUCCGGAUGAGUAGCAUCAUCAAAAAAAUGUUGCAAUUUGCGACACUGGCGCGGUAAACAACCACUUUCGACGCAAAAUUAAAUUGUGCGACCGAUUGGCUCUCAUUGGGGCCGCCUCGGGAAUUGUACAUCAGCAAAUGGAAGCACUCAAUAAACCCGGAACGUUCGAUGAGGGCUGGUAGGAGGGAACCGAACCAAAUCCAUCGUGAAGUGGCUGCACUGCAGAGUAAUACCAAGGAUAAGCGCGACCGGAAGGGUUAAAAUUCGUUGCCAGCACCGUUUUUGGGAUCCGGUGGUGAUUGAUGUCGUUGAUCAUUUCCAAUCCAGGGUAAAAUACAACGAAUGCGAAUGCUGACAGGAUUCGUGAAGAAGUCGACUAUUCGUGGAAGGAAGGCACCAGACACCAGAAGUCGCGAGCUCAGCGUCGUUGACCUAGACCUCUACGGAUCGAUUCGUUCACGGUUCCAUAAGAUACAAGACGUAAGAACUAAUAGCAUAAAGCAACGAAAGAAGAGUAUCAACACUCACCAGAAACGGUUCAACUAGGAAGUGAUUGACUACCAGCCGUGUAUGAGACAAAGCAUAUAGUGUGAACCUGCUAGCUACUUCACUUUAAAGGUGGACCAAAACACAGAACUUAGUUCUUUGGUUGCCCCAUUGUUUGGUUUGUCUCCGCAGGACACGAGUGUGGAGGACCUGGAGCUAGGAACGUGUGCGUCUCGUUGCUGUAAUAAUUAAUUACCAGACAACAAACGUACGAGCCAACAGCAGCAACAGCAAAGACACGGUGAGAAGCCACCCAAGUGCAACAAAGAUUUCACCCAAUCUUGCAAUCUACAAUCGCACUACCGCCACAAUCGCGGUGUCAACGCGAAACUUACUUCUAGUUGUUUUUUUAGCUACAGAUGUGACAGCAGACCACUGCCAGCAAUUCUGAGUCCAAUUAUUCAUCUCCUCAGUAGCUAUCAUCGUCGUCCGUGGCAAUACGGGAAAUGCUGAUGCUAAUUCCCAAACCGUUCCAGUGUUCUGUUACAACAAACCAUUAUUUGAUAUGGAACUGCUACUCAUCCACGAAGAAACCCACAUCUCAGAAGCACCGUUCGAGUGUUGCUUCGGUACCACGAUGUUUACAGAACUGUCCCAAUCUCAGCUCUCACGUCAAUGUACACGAGGCAACUUGAGUGCUUAACCAUCGCAGGCCCGUCACCCGAUACAACAGUAAACUGCAGGGAUUCGAG
Molecule: long non-coding RNA, 1401 nt
Organism: Armigeres subalbatus
Lineage: Eukaryota; Metazoa; Arthropoda; Insecta; Diptera; Culicidae
Exons: 3
Source: RefSeq, a predicted model, not a curated record